AUUGAACGCUGGCGGCAGGCUUAACACAUGCAAGUCGAGCGGAAACGAUGUAGCUUGCUACAGGCGUCGAGCGGCGGACGGGUGAGUAACGCGUAGGAAUCUGCCUAGUAGUGGGGGACAACAUGUGGAAACGCAUGCUAAUACCGCAUACGCCCUACGGGGGACAGGAGGGGAUCUUCGGACCUUUCGCUAUUAGAUGAGCCUGCGUAAGAUUAGCUAGUUGGUAGGGUAAAGGCCUACCAAGGCGACGAUCUUUAACUGGUCUGAGAGGAUGGCCAGUCACACUGGGACUGAGGCACGGCCCAGACUCCUACGGGAGGCAGCAGUGGGGAAUAUUGGACAAUGGGCGCAAGCCUGAUCCAGCCAUGCCGCGUGUGUGAAGAAGGCCUUAGGGUUGUAAAGCACUUUCAGGGGUGAGGAAGGGUGUUUGGUUAAUAUCCAAACAUUUUGACGUUAGCCCCAGAAGAAGCACCGGCUAACUCUGUG
RNAcentral lists this ribosomal RNA (486 nucleotides) under uncultured bacterium. RNAcentral's name for it is "partial 16S ribosomal RNA". It matches the Rfam family "Bacterial small subunit ribosomal RNA", at positions 30 to 507 of the family's 1533-position model. The record is from RNAcentral.